GGUAGGAUGGCUGAGUAUUAAGUGGUGGGUUGUAGCCCCAUAAACAGAGGUUUAGACCCUCUUCCUAUCA
RNAcentral lists this transfer RNA (70 nucleotides) under Zenopsis conchifer. Its description in RNAcentral is "tRNA-Tyr". It matches the Rfam family "tRNA". From Rfam's summary of the family: Transfer RNA (tRNA) molecules are approximately 80 nucleotides in length. Their secondary structure includes four short double-helical elements and three loops (D, anti-codon, and T loops). Further hydrogen bonds mediate the characteristic L-shaped molecular structure. tRNAs have two regions of fundamental functional importance: the anti-codon, which is responsible for specific mRNA codon recognition, and the 3' end, to which the tRNAs corresponding amino acid is attached (by aminoacyl-tRNA synthetases). tRNAs cope with the degeneracy of the genetic code in two manners: having more than one tRNA (with a specific anti-codon) for a particular amino acid; and 'wobble' base-pairing, i.e. permitting non-standard base-pairing at the 3rd anti-codon position. The record is from RNAcentral. Lineage: Eukaryota; Metazoa; Chordata; Actinopteri; Zeiformes; Zeidae.